AAGUAAAAGUCGUAACAAGGUUUCCGUAGGUGAACCUGCGGAAGGAUCAUUAUUGAAAGAAACCCUCAGGCAAAGUGGAGGUGGUUGUAGCUGGCCCCUAGGGGCAUGUGCACACUGCCUCUGUUGCUUGUUUCUUCAUUCUCUCCACUUGUGCACUGCUUGUAGGCAGCCUGGCACUGUUCAGGUUGUUUAUGAUUUUAUUUACAUACAUGAAAUAAUUGUUGUACAGAAUGUGAUAAAACAAGUAAUACAACUUUCAACAACGGAUCUCUUGGCUCUCGCAUCGAUGAAGAACGCAGCGAAAUGCGAUAAGUAAUGUGAAUUGCAGAAUUCAGUGAAUCAUCGAAUCUUUGAACGCAUCUUGCGCUCCUUGGUAUUCCGAGGAGCAUGCCUGUUUGAGUGUCAUUAAAUUCUGUCAAAACAUGCACUCAAGUGUGUUUUGGAUUGUGGGAGUGUCUGCUGGCUUUUAUAUUUGAGCCAGCUCUCCUGAAAGACAUUAGCUUUGGGGGGGAUGUGCCAAGUCACUUCUGCCUUUCCAUUGGUGUGAUACUAUCUACACCAGGAAAGCAGGUUGCAGGUGAUGCACUGUGCUCUCUGCUCUCUAAUUGAGAUUUGUCUGAUAACUUGACCUCAAAUCAGGU
RNAcentral lists this ribosomal RNA (641 nucleotides) under Amanita taiepa. RNAcentral describes it as "eukaryotic LSU rRNA". The stretch from base 252 to 405 matches the Rfam family "5.8S ribosomal RNA". The record is from RNAcentral. Lineage: Eukaryota; Fungi; Basidiomycota; Agaricomycetes; Agaricales; Amanitaceae.